GAUAUCAAAGAUAAACUCAGACUGACGAACAGGAGUUGGGCUGGAGACCCAUGCCUUCCAGGAGACUACCCAUGGGAUGCCUUGACCUGCAAUGAAGCACCAAACCGUCGAAUUAUUACACUGUAUGUAGCCAAAUAGCCAUGUUUAUCACCAUAUGCUUUCCUUGAUUUCCACAUUGGCACUUGCCAAAAAGACAAUGAAAAGAAACUCAAAUUUGCAAAAGGAAAAUAAAAGCAUGAAACUAAAGGGUUUUGUUUGUAGGGAUAUCUCGGGCAGCGGAUUGAAUGGAGAAAUACCGGCUUCUAUAGCCAACCUCAAUGAGCUCACGUCACUGUAAGUACUUCAUAUAGUCACAUAGAUGCACCUCAACAUGCACACAAGUACUAUUCUCUCACUUCUUUCCUUUUCGAAGGAAGCCAGUCUAAGCACCUUCACAAUAGAUCAGCUCACAUUGUUUUUGGGUAGUUUAAACUCAAAACCAUCAAGGUUGAGAGGACAACCAACUUCCAUGGAGAAAUGGGCCUGAAUCCAACAUAAAGCCACAAGAUCAUAAUAUAUUAGAAAGAACAUACAAGCUUUACGGCCUAGAGAAAACAAGCAUCCUCACUCCUCCAUCUAAAGCACUAAAAUUUCACUCCAGUCAAUUGUGGAGAACUGAACUCAAACAUGGGGAAGUUAUAUAUUCGAGCUGGCAAAUAAAAUUUUCAACAUUUUCCCUUUCAUUCCAAUCAAUAUGGAUCUUAAGCUUGAUGGCUCUGUUUUCUAACAGUAAAAACCAAACAGUAUUGCUUCAAUGUUGGACUGAUAACAUAGAUCUGAAACUAGCCCAAGAUGUGAUUCACUCUUGGCUCCACCAAAGCCUUCUUUUACAUGUAUGUGAGUUUAUUUCUGUCUUUACAUGAGCAUCAAUGAAUUUGGAGGUCACCUUUUCCCUAACAAAUGCAUUUUCCAAGUCAAUGUGUUUCAUCUGUUGAUGGAUAACUGAGUUAAAUGCUUGUAUGGCUACAUGGCUCUCACAAACUAUCCUGAAUAAAUAAUUCACAUUGAUGGCUAGAUUCCCCAACAGUAGUUUCAACCAUACCAUUCAUAUGCUGUAUAUACAUACUUUGUUAUGAAAAUACACUUAAUCUAUAGCAUGAGUGUAGCCUUGCCAAGGUCACCUCAACAUAUCUCAACAUGGUCAACAUGCAGCAUAGUGCUCUAACCUGUGAUGCCCUGUUCCAGCGUCCCUUCCCUCAUUGAAAUAACAUUAUCCCAUAUUGAGCCUAUCCUUAGCUAGCCCUACAUAUUAGGUUUGCAAAUUUAUGUUGGAAUAACGUUAUCCCAUAUUCUCUUUGAACCUAUCCUUAGCUAACCCUACACCUCGGGUCUGCAAAUUUAUGUCCAUAUAAUUAGAUGGAAGUAAUUGCAAUCCUGGCUAUUGCGCUUCCAUGAGACCUUUUAUGGAUUCUCUCUAAGUUAAUUCUUGAAGUGAUCGUCAUACCCAAGGACAAGCAGUGGCCCAUACAAGGAGAAAAUUUCUUUUCAUAAUCUUUCCGCCACUUAGUCCCAUGACUAUAUCCAAGUAAAGGAGAGCUCCUUCGCCUAAUUACAUCACAUGAUAUCUAUUACCAAGCAAUUAUGUAAGUUAAUUUAUUGGUCUGAGACUACAUCAUAGAACUUGAGGACCAUUCUCAAGUUCUUGAUAAGGGUAGAAAUGUGUGACAAACGAUCAAUAUAUUAUCUGCCAGAUGGAGUUGAGAGGCAGUAAUGCCAAUCAUAGCUACCAAAGAGCCCUGAAGUGUACCCAAAUUGGCUACACUGACGAUCAAACAAGAAAGGAAAAAGUGGAUUUCCUUACUAAAGAAGCGAGCUGGGAUUCAUAGACCUUAUAAGAUGUCAUGGAUGGAUAACUCUAUCAUCCAUCUCCUUUACGAGUUCCAAACCUCAUACAAGUGAUCAAAGGGUCCAAAACCCGUCAGUUGUAGAAUUUAACCAAGAUUUGACCUCUUAAACAAUCCUUAGCCCUCCAAUAUCUUUCUCUUCUUCACUUAGACACUUUGUUAAUGGGAUACAAAGAAUCCUGGAACCUCCCUUAACCUCAAACCAAUAAUACCAUCCAAGAUCUUUUACACUACCCCCAAAAUUAAUAGGCCAAGUCUAUGCCCCUUCCACCUUAGGUAAUGGGAUGAUGAAACAUUUGGUCAUCACCUUCUUGAUUUGAGAGUUCUUGUAAAAUUCAUAGAAGACCUCCAAGAGACCCCCUUCACUAGUCAUACAAUUCAGAAAAGAAAGCCACCUCAGGGAAUCCUAUCUCUGUGCCCAUCAUAAAAACUCAUGUUGUACGAUCCUCCUCAGGACUUGCCCUUUUCUUCUCUACAUGCAAAAUUGUAUCAGAAUAAAGAUACUAAGAAAUUACAACUUAACAGGGGGAAACCUCCAAGGUUUACAGCUGAAAAAUGAAUAAUGUCAUUAAAAAUAACACAUAGCACCAAAAUCAAUAAAAUGUUUUUAUCAAUCAAUGUGUAACCAAUACAAUAUAUAUAUUACGAAUAUGUUAGGAAUAUCUUCCCUAUUAAACAAAGUACAUGAAGCCAGACAGGAGAUAAAGUAGCUAAGAUGGAGGCAAGUACAAAUACCAUAUUGUGCUUGAAAAAGCUGGGCCAGCCUCAGGGACUGUAGUAAAAAUAAAAAGGAGAGGGAGAAUGUAGCAUAACACGAUAUCAAAGUCUAGGACCACACAAAAUAUUGGAACGAGGGUGUGUGGGAUUAGAAAUUCUAGAAGUAAACUGGGUAAGCCAGGAAAAGGAAAUGGCCGAGCGCCAGUAAUUGAAGGGCCAUAGAGAGUGAAGAGGAGCAAAACACGAACAACAACACCUCCAAUUCUAAAGCAGUUACUGAGUUACAUGACCAUCAAGAGGCAUGAAUCACGGGGCUGGAGUUGGACUGAAAGUUGUUCCUCCUUUGCUAAUGGUUGUUCACUUAAGUUCAUUACCAGUAUAGAUUAUUUAUGCAACAGCUACUUCAACAUUGAUUUUUCCAUCCGUGUUACAAACAGUACUCAGCUAGACUAGGAGAAUAACUCAUUUUUAAUUUACCAUGAAUGCCAUGUAAUAUUGUUUUAUGUUAUUUCUCAUCAACAGAUUUUAGACAUCUUUACCAAGAAAAAACAUUUUACCUUACCGAAAGGGUAUGUAAUCUUCUUGAGCACAAAAAUAUCUAUCCACAGAACCUGUAGGAUGCUUCAUAGAGAACUUCUAUAAAAGUUCACUUAACUUUUUUAUUCCUACAAAAACUAUUUUGACCUUAAUAAGCCUACCCAUGCUAUCGGAGUGUUUGGCCAAAUGGUUGUUCUUUUGUUGGAAUAUAAUAUCACUUCUUUUCCCCAACGUGCUGUCAAAGGACAGGCUCUAGCCGAUUUCUUGGUUGCACGUUCGAUUCUGUAAGGGUUUCCAUUAGAUGAAGAAGUACUAAGUGCAGUAGAAGAGUGUCCCAAUUGGAAAACAUAUUUCAACAGUGCCUCUCAGGCCAAGGGAACCCGUAUCGGUAUCCUUUUUGUUAAUCCCGAGUAAGGACUCCCCCUUUACUCCUUUUCUUUGAAGAGGAAAUGCUCAGGAAAUCAAGCCAAGUAUAAAGCUCUUAUCCUUGGGUUAUGAAUGGCCCGUGCACUCAGGAUUGACAUGCUUUUGAUAUUUGGGGACUCACAAUUAGUAAGCUGCCAAAUUGACGGAAGUUACCAAGGGAAGAAAAAGAAGUUGCUCCACUAUCACCAACAAGCUAUGAGUCUGAUACAUAAUUUGAAGACUCUAUCCCUCACCCUUUACCAUGAAGCCCGAAUAGGCAAGCCGAUGCAUUGGGCAAACUGGGAGCAUCAAUAACUCUCACUUCUUCCAAAAUGCUGCAAGUUUGGGUCCAAGAAAAGAAGAUGCUCGUUCUAUCAGUGGAAGCAUAUCAAUUGCCGGAGCUCACAAUACCAAAUACCCCAUCAAUGAUCAAUCCUAAGAUGCAUCGGCCACCAUUGUACGACAUGUCUCUUGCUCUCAGGCAGAUUCACCUGACUGGAGACAACCUUAUAUAAACUUUAUACAAUAUAGGAUCCCCCCACAUGAGAAAAAUGAAAGAGACUCCAUUUGGAGGAAAGCAACAAGAUUCACCCUUUUGGACAGGGUUCUCUAUCAAAGAAACUUUGACGUUUGAACUAAGAAAAUAAUCUCGACACUAUAUUACCAUCUUAAUUCACAUAUUUAAAAAACUCCAACUAUAUGCCUACGCUAAUCCUCAGCAGUCCAAAGCCAUGCAAUGCAUUAAUUUUUCAAAUAAAGGCAUGGAUUGUUGUAUUAUAAAACGCAAUGGACUCUUUUGAUGUUUUUGUGAAUAGGGAACAUUAUGGCAUUCCACAAAAAGAAGGUUAUUUAACUGAUUUUCAAAGAAAUUCUGGCUAUAUUCAUGAUAUUUGAAACUAUAGUAUUUUACAUAAUCAAACAGGAAAUUAUAUUCUCAAAUGUUUUAUUGCUAUUAUUGAUACAGGAACCUAUCAAACAAUCAGCUGACAGGUCCCAUACCAGAAAGUUUUGCUCAUCUGACCAAACUAAAGUCAUUGUAAGUAUAAAUCCAAUCUUUCAAGAGUGCAAUAAAGGGGAAAUGAAAAGAAAUAUGAUUUUCAUGGACAUGCAUAUGGUUUGUUUAUAGGGAUUUGUCAAAAAACAAUCUAACUGGGCUGGUUCCAAGCACAUUAAUAGAUAAAAACGACAGUGGUGUACUUCUAUUAAGGUUAGCAUUGAUAUACUGACAUUUUUAUUUUACUCUUUGAGAGAAUCACUUAUAACUGACUUCUUGUUCGUUUGUUAACUUAACGUGCGCAGCAUUUUCCAAAAUCCCAGCCUUCUGAGACCCAACUCCUCUGAACCAACUCCAAAGAAGAACAAGAAGAACGUGUUAAUUGUGGUGAUAUCUGUUAGUGCAACAAUCGUCUUGCUCUUUGCCUUUGCAUUUGUUCUGAUAAUGACGACAAGGAAAAUAAAUGGUAAGCUUCAGUUCACUUACCAACAUCUAGUAUAUCUACUAUACUUACGCAUCUAGUAUAUACUCUUUCUUUCAAUUAUGCCACUCCGAAGUCCCAAAUAACCCAAGAACACCAAAACAAUUUUUACACAAAACAAUUUUUACACAAAAUAACCUAUGCUCAAGUUUUACACAAAACAAUAACACGUAUUCCCAAAGCAUGCUUCAAAUUGGUCAAGACACGUAAAUAUGAGCUCUUAAGAUUAACGGAUUCUUCUUUUUUGUUAUUUACUAGUACCUCAAAAGUAUGAGAAAAAUGGAGAAGUUUUCUACUUGGAAAAUAUUUCUUGUGUUUCAUACUAUUUUCAUGUGUACACUAAAAGUUUUUGUACCAUUGUAUGUUUAUGAGCAUUCUGUGUUGGGGAAGAAGCAUUGGUUUUACAAAUAAGUUAUAAUCCAAAAGACAACCCUGUGGAGGUUAUAGGGCUGCAAAAGUUAUUAUUAAAAUAGAUAAGGAUUGUGAUAGAGAAGGAAGGGUUGUUAUUAUGAGGUUGGGAGUACAUUGUUGUUUUGAUUCAACAAUUCACUAGAGAGAAAAUAGAUUUAUCUACUUGCAAUAACCAACUACCAUCUAGGUAGAAAAAUAAACCCUGGGAAACUCGUUUAUUUGCUCAAUACUAAAAGCCCCUAGGCAUUCUAGCAAAAAGGUAACUCCACCUUAACUGAAACCAACCCAUCAAUUAUGAUUUCUCAAGUGUUGACUGUACCCUUAUCUCUUGAAAACAAACCAUGGUUGUCCAUGAGACGAGCCAACCCGAUAAGUCCCACCUUAAAUUCCUAUUUCAUUGGUUGGUAUACUUGCCCUUGCUCUUGAGAAAGGUUCUUGAGACAGCGAUCUCAAGUCCCAGGUUCCCUAGAAACCUGAGAUGCGUGCUGCCAGAUCAUCUAGAUCCGGAGGGUGAGAUAAAGGCAGCUAACAGAGGUGGCACUGAUAUCACUGCUUGAACAUAAGCAAUGGCAUAGCUUAUGUACAAAUAUAAUUAUUUUCGCCUUUUGAUAAGCAACAUUUUUCUUUCAGAGGUGCAUAUUUCAUUCUAUUGGUUAUAGUAAUGUAUAACAAAUCUUAUGCUCAUCUUUACAUCGUUCAAAAGUGAAAUCAGAGCAUAGCAUCCUCAUCGAUCGUGUAUGGUUUGGGAUUCAACAAGAACACAUCUUUGGGGAAGUAAACAAGAAGUAAUUCAAAUUGAUAUGUCUCUGGAAUACCCAGUUGUCUCCUCCAAAAGAAUCAAGUAACCUUUGAAGAAAAUGUUUCCUUUUGUGGUUCAACAAUUUUCUCCACACUGACUAGACAGUUUCUCAAAAAUAAAAAGAAUGACAAAACAGGCAUCAUAUAUCAUAGUUGGGUCUAUUUCCGAUAGUAAGAAUUUAAGCAGUAAGCCCAGGGCUAAAAUUUCAAAGAAACAAUCCCCAUCUAUGGGGCAACAAACCCACCACAAUUGCUUAUGAAGUCAAAUCAAUGAAAUUUGGUAUAACACACGACAAAAUACAAUUGAUUAUCUUAGAAGAAAUCAGCCAGUAAAAGGAACUAAUUUUUCAAGAUCAAAAGCCAAUGUAUCUGCCCUAACUUCUCAGACCUUUGUUCUUGAUGACCCCAAGACAAGGUUCCAGGUUUUUUUUAGCCUUUGUGACUGCUGCAUCCAUGUCUAUGCACAAACUUAUUUCCUAGUAAAUUAAAGGUACUGUUAUUUCCCAGAUGUAUUAAUUUUUGUCUCCUAUAUUGAAAAUAAUAUUGAUUUGGUAUCUUAAUAACCUGUACUGGGAUCAUUUCUAAAAACCGUGAGAAUUUAGAAACAGCUGAGGAAACAGACUAGGAGUAGAGACUAAAUAGACCAUGACAAAGAAUAUGCCUGAAUAGCUAACGCAGAAUUUCUAAAAUAAUAGAAAAGUCAAGUGGAAAUAUCUAUCUUAUUGAUUUGUCCCACAGAUUGUUUUGCUCUUCACUAAUUGCACCAGGAACAAGAAUGAGAAAAAGAAAAACUUCAUCAAAUUCAGAUGGUGCUCAAACAUUUACACACUCUGAGAUUGUUAAAAUAACCAAUGACUAUGAAAAGAUCAUUGGUAAGGGAGGAUAUGGGCCUGUCUUCUAUGGGCGCCUGGAUGAUGGCCGUGAAGUUGCUGUCAAGAUUUUGUCCAAAGAAUCACAUCAAGGAGCCAAAGAAUUCUCUAAUGAGGUUUGUAUGAGAAAAGAAACUAAAUCUAGUUUUACAUUCACAUAUUCUUACUUGUAAUCAGGAUAAAUAUUUGGACUUUGGGAUAAUGCUUUGAUGAUGAUGACGAAGAAAAAGGAUAAAUAUUUGGACUUUGGAAAUACAGGUCAAACUGUUGAUGAGAGUUCAUCACAAGUAUUUGGCCUCCUUGAUAGGAUUCUCUGAGGAAGGCAAAGAGAAGAUUCUUGUCUAUGAAUAUAUGUCUAAAGGAAAUCUGAAUUCGAUCCUGUCAGGUAUGACCUUUGAAUUGCUUUCUUUCACUUGUAUCCUAUUGUAAGUUCUGUCUUUUUUUCUGUUUUUUUCUUAAAGCUUUAUAGGACUACUAGCAGUGAUCCCCUUUUACAACUCCAUUAUUCUACAGGACAAGUGUAUUAUUAGGAGAUACUGUCAUUUUCAUUUUUAUUCUUGUUAUGUAUGCUGUAAAUAGAACCACUAAGGCAAACAUUAAAUCAUAACAAAGAUAACUCUAUCCAUGAGUAGCAAUACAGCUUGUGCAGAAAGUCACAAUGCUCAUAAAGCAUUGAUUUGUUGACAUGAAUUAGAGUGUGUUGGAUAUUUUAAUUAAAAUACAACAUACAAAUAGAAGAAUUACAAUAAUACUAAUUAGAAUUAUUAACAAUGUCAACCACAAGAAAAGAACAUAACAAUAAAGAGUGACAAGGUACGUAUCCCCAACAUAACAAUAUCUAACUAUGAUGCACCUAAAGCAAUCUAAUGAAUUCCUAAUUAGCCAUGUUUACCUACCACCCAAAAAAAAAGAAAGAAAAAAUAUCCAUUCUAGUGAGAUCACUACUGCUCUCAAUGGAUAGUUCUCUUGUGAGAUCAUCAGCCAAUUGGCCCUUAGGCUUUAUCUAUGGGAGACACCCCUGGAUUGCUUACUGAAGGUUAAGGGUUUGACCCUUGAAGUCAGGCCCAGAAUAACAAACGAAGCUAACCUACACAUUGUUUUUUGAAACUCAGUAUGUACUAAAGCUUACUAAGGUCCUUUGUAUAGCAUCAUAAUAUAUUUCGACUUAGCUACUAUCUAUGUGCAUGUUUACAUAUAUAUGGCACAUUGUUCCCUGAUUUGAUCAAUGAGAUAUACAUCUAUACUUUUUACCCAAUCAUUGUGCCUGAAUGCUCUUUUCCUCUUUUCAUUAUUUUCCUCUUUUCUUUCUUAAAUUUAACAUGUUAUCAGAGCAGACCUAGAAAUCCUAUGAUGUCAAUUUUUUUUGCAACCCUAGAAUCAAGAUUUUCCUUUCUUCUUGGGAUUUAAAUUGAGAUAUAUCAGCAAGCCCAUAUUUUUCAAGUAAUAUCAUUUCAUUAUUUUACUGGGUAAGUUCAUCCCAGAUUCUUUGUCUUUCAUGCAAAACAGGAAGAAAAGGAAACCCCAGACCUCAUUCUCUCAAAAUUUUUUUACCCCAUUCCAGAAAACCAAUUAUAUUCCAUAUCCUUCUUGUCCAAAAGAACCAAAAAAAAAGGAAAAUUUUUAGAGCUUUGAAAACUAGUAAAGCAAUACAUCAAGAAAAGAUAGAGUUGAGUUAGUAGAGAGAGAGAGAGAGAGAGAGAGGAAAAAAAAGUUAGAAAUCAAGCACAAUAUUUCCCUUGGAAGCAGUCAACUUGAGCACCCAAGAUUGAUGAUCACUAUAAUUAGAUGGGACAAACUACUUAGAAUGGUCUCAAUCUGCCAUAAUGUUCAUAGGAAGAUGGAGAAAAUUGGUUACAUCACAAGGAAGGUGAAGAACCACCAUCCAUGACGAAUGGGAAAGUGAGUAUCUGAAUUUGACUGUGAUGGCAUGACUUCUUUAUUCCAUUCCGCCAAGCAUCAAUAAGGGAUUGUUUCGCCUCAAUCAUGGCCUAAUGAAUGUACCCAUGGCGGGCUUUGCAUCUCUAUGCACUAAUCGAAGCACUUUCACCAAAGGGUGAGAGAUUUGCAAGCAAUAGUAGCAUUGGGUCCAAAAGGAAGUAUUAAAAACAAUGUUCUCUGCUUUUCUCCCAACUUGAUGCCUUCACCACCAAUUUCCAGUCUACUUCUCUAAAGUGAACAUGCUCCUUAGGCCAUCAUUUUGCUUACAUAGGCAUUGAAGAGUGAGAAAUGUAGUGGCAAAUCUAGUGACUCCUGCUCUCACUCUCUCUCUCUUUUGUAAACUCUCUCACUAUAGUAUGUUAUAGAUUAAAUUAAUGAAUAGACUUAGCUUUGGUGAUUGCCCCAUUAACCAUAGAUGUCUUCCCUAUUUCCUCAAGCCCGAGAUCAGCAUAAUGAGAUGCAAGGAGUCCAAAACAUUUGCCUCAUCUUCAAAGUCAAGAGAUGCCUAGUUGCAAAGGAAUUACCAUUGUAGGUGAUAAUAAGUACCACAUUAUCUACAAUUUCAUCCAUCCAUCCACACAAAUAAGUUGCAUCAUGUGAUUUGUAUGAUGCAUAAAUCGAUUUCACAAAAGGAGUACCUAAAGGAGUCCGAGACUUUCCAUUGGACCACCACUACACAUGAUGGUCACCCCAUACUUCUCCCACCCUUCUUCUUGAGAAGUCAAAAUAUAUUUCACAUCCUUUAUGCAUCCUUCAAAAUUGGCUUCAUGAGCUCAUGAAAUGAAGGGGGUUUGGGCCUUGGGCCAAACUGCCCAAUUGCCCCCAACCAUAACCUUGAAGCUAUCAUGGCACUUGCUAUUGAAAGGAAUACCAACUAGAUAAAACCACUUGGCAACGUAUUUCUAAACCUUAUGCCUCCCUUCUUUCUUGUAUCUAUUCUCAAGUGUGGUUUGUUUUGUUUUCUUCCUCAUGUCUUCGACCAUAACUCCGGGGUUAAGGGAACAAAAAGAUUCGAUUGGUCCUAUAGGGAGAGGCUUUAUAUGAAUUUCCACUAAUAUUUAUAACCCUCUCCCUUAUAAUUCUACGCCCACUUCCAACGUUGGAAUGCAUCUUCUACAUCAUCAUCACACAUAUGAAUUUCAACUAAAACUCUUUUUAUUUCAUUUUUUUUCUAUUUUCUUUUUAAGUAUAUUCAAAUACACCCUAAUCUCACUUCUAAUCUCAUCCAUUGCUUGACGGCAUGCUCUCACAUUCCUGAUAAUUUUGACAAGAUGUUCUUUUUGCCAGUAUAUGUUUUCUCACAUUCCUGUUAAUUCACCCAGUAUAGGUUUUCUGACAUAGCAUAAAAAAAAACACAAUUUUGAUCCUUUGCAUAGGUAAAUCUUGAAUAUUUCCAUGUCGGAUCUUUGUUGCUUGAUGUAGCCGGCCUUAAAUAAUUGGGAAAAAGUUAUGAUGAUGAUGAUCUUUAUUGCUUGAUGAAGAAGACAUUGUUUUUAAAAGGAAAGUAAUAGUUGAUAGAACUUACAAAAAAUGAUUAAAAAGGAAAUGAAUAGUUGAUGGAACUUACCAAAAAUGAUGAUCCAAAAUUCAAAACUUUUGAUUCCAAACCCUAAAUCAAAAGAAAUUUCGGUUUCUUGGAUUCAAUCUCCUAGGCCCUAAAUCCUUCGAAUACUUGUUGAAUUUUUACCAUAAACCAUCAAAAUGAACCCUCAAAAAAAUAUCAAUCAAUUGACCAAAGAUUCAAGAACAAAUCCUGACUUCUUUUCAAAAAAAUUUGGAAACACAAAUAUUUUUUUAAUCUAUUUUUCUUUUUUGUUUUUAUUUGAAUCCCCUUUAAACCAUGGAAACAUGGUUCUAAGGGUUUUUAGGGAGAUCAUAUACCCCCCAAACCGUUUGGACCCCAUUUCCCUCCUAGGUGGGGUGACUUUUUGCCCAAGCUCGUGGGCAAAAUUUCCUCCCACAAGACAUGGGCACAUAUGCGAGUAUCACCAAAUGUGUGAUGCGGCCCAUAUGUGAUCGAUGAGCCACAUAUGAGGCCGCAUCACGAAAACCCACCUAUACGGGUGUGAGAGAUACGCCCAUGCCUACACGACACAUUAUGCCUUGUCUCUAAGUAAAACCUUUUGCAACCAACCUUGUGUUGUAUUUUUCAAUAUGCCAUCUGCCUUGUAUUUCAUGGUAAACACCCACUUGCAUCCCACCACCUUCUUUCCCUUUGGAAGUUUAGCGAUCUCCCAAGUGUUAUUGCUAGAACUUGCAUUUUCCCCCACGUCGCAGCAUUCCACUGAGGUUGUGUUAAAGCCUCACACUGGAUGGAAUAUUAACAGUAGAUACAGAUUAUAGGAAAACACAAUAGGAAGGUGACAUGACAUUAUAAGAAACAAAGUUAUGGCAUUUUGUGUACAUGAUCUCUUGCCUUACAUAAUACAAUCAGUAAGUCAAUAUCUGACACAGGGAAUGGAUUAGAAGGUCAAGAAAUACUAGGAUGAGAAGGAUCAUUACCUGAUUCCAUAUCGACACCUGAGUCAUAAUCGUUUUGGACUUCAUGUUGUACCAACUUCUUCCUUCUAAUAUUAGUCUUCAACUCCUUUUCCUUGAUUGCAAUUGGUAUGUUCCCAUUUUCAAUUUUAGGCAUCUCAUAAACUCCAAAAAAUAAAGGGAACUGGAGUUGGAGUAGAUAAAGGUAGUGGAACUAAGAUUUCUCACUUCUUGACAACCGUGCUCUCCUUGAAGAGAGCAUUUCUAUCCAGGAGGAGAGAAAUAUGAAAUAGACUCAAAAAACUUAACAGCUCUAUAGUUGUGUUUGGAUGUUAUUUUCCUCUCUUUCUUCUCAAACUUGACAGAUCUAUAGUUGUGUUUUAUUUCAAAGGUUAUUUACAUAUAGUACUCUUGAGAUCAUCUCUCAAGUGAUCCAUGAUCUGUUGUAACAUUGGAUCAGACGAUAUGUGGAAGGCACUUCUAUUGUCACAGAAGAAUAUAGGUAUAACUCAUAUGCAACGAUCGAUGCACGCUUAAACAAGUAGACAAGUUAGCUUGAAUGUAAUGGCCCAAAAUCAAUGUUGGAUGCGAUUGUGGUUCUCUACUUCAUGAUAAAUUUGUGUAACUAUUUUGAACUUUUGAUGUUAUUACAUUACACAUAAAAAUAAUACCGUGUUGCAUUGCUAACCAUUUUAUUUGAAUGAAAAAGUUAUUAAAAAUAGAAUCAAUUAUUACAUAAACAUAUCACACAUACAUCUUUCAAGUUAUUAAAUAAUAUCAUAAACUAUACACAUAUAAAUACGUCACAAAUAUACAUACAUAUGCACACGCAUGUAUUACAUACAAAUAUAAAUGCAUCAUACGUACAAACAUAAAUGUUCCUUUAGCUAACUGACUUCCUUUAGCUACCUAGAGCUAGAGCUAGAGCUAACUAGCUUUCCUGAAGCUACCUAGCUUUCCUGAAGCUACCUAGAGCUAGAGCUAGAGCUACCUAGCUUUCCUGAAGCUACCUAGAGCUAGAGCUAGAGCUACCUAUCUUUCCUGUAGCUACCAUAGCCUAUCUUCCCUUUAGCUACCUACACUAGCUAAUCGUAGCUACGUAGAGCAUAUAUACUUAUAUAUGUGUAUAUGUUCAUACAUAAACUUAGCUAUGUUGUAGUGCCUUUUACGGAUCAAUGUUCAGAAACAAUAGUGGGUGUGACCAUGGUUCUCUGCUUUGAAGCUUUUGCAUCCUCUUACAUAGUCAUCUAGGGUUCACCCUCUUCCAUUCAACAAAUGCACUGCAUACCUCUUGCACAAUCACUAAGAUCAAAGUAUCAAGCCACCUAACCCAAUUUCAUUGUUGACUAGAACACCUAUUUCUUGCAUUCUUUCUUAAAACUACUUUUACCUAUUUAUUAUCACUUUUUGUUACAGAAAAUAUGAAAUAAUUUAAACCAUAUCUCACAAAAUUAUCUCAUAGUCUCAAAAUGGACUCCUCAAAUUUUCAAAUUGUUAAGGAUAGAAUGACAGUUUUUGCUUGGAAAAGAGUCAGAGAAAUCUUGCAAUGAUUAGAAAAUUUAAAAUAAAAAAAAAAAAGAAUGCUAGCCAUGGCAAGAAAGUUAUGAAGUAUGGCACUAUGGAUGCAUUAUAUAAAUUGGAAAAAAAAAAAAAGAUAUAAUCAAAUCAUAGGGGAAUAACACAACAAACAAUCGUUUAAAAGUAUUGUGUUUCUGGAAGGAAAUAAAUUACUUCCAUUCAUAAUCCAGAUUCCGGUAGCUUUAAACAAACCAUUCUGUUGAAUUAUAAUACUACAAUAAUUGGGAGUACCUAUUAUUGCCAUUGGUAAUCCACAGAUUGGUAGAAGAAAAUUAAAAACUUUUUCAGUUUCCUGACUGCUGGAUUCAUUCCACCUAUAUGUAGUUUUGGGGUCAUGUAAUUCUCUUAGGACUCUCAAUGAUAUUACGGUCAUGUAUCCAGCAAAAUAAAACCAGUUUUUAUUGUAGUUUUCAGCAGUUCUCGAUAGCAGAACUCUAAAGCAUAUAGACUGAUACUCUCCAAAACAUAUAGAGAGAGACAAAGGCUGAUACUUACUUCAGUGCAAACUAAAAAACCAGUUGAGGCACCUUGUUUCAAAUAUCAUUUCCUAUGUACAUCACAAAGACAGUUCUGCAAUCAAAACAAAUGCCUUCUAUUGAGCCACUCAUAUUUUCCACUAUCAAAAUAAUGAUGUAGAUUUGAAACAUCUGCAUUUCACAUUGAAGCAUCAGCUUCAAUUAUAAUAAAGUGUAUAUAGCACUGUGAUGAAAAGAUACUCUGAAUUGUGUGCCACUUCAUGCAGACAAGAGUAGCAGCUCAAAAGUAUUGAACUGGGAACAACGAAUUCAAAUUGCUCUGAGUGCUGCACAAGGUAUGCACGAAAAUUUAGCAUCAAUUGUUUUCCUUCUUUUCUUGAUUUCAAGUACUUAGCAAGUACUUUGGUUUGUAGGAUUGGAGUACCUACAUUAUGGAUGCAAACCACCAAUUGUUCACAGAGAUGUAAAGACAUCCAACAUCCUUUUAAAUGAGAAAUUGGAAGCCAAAUUAGCAGAUUUUGGGUUGUCCAGAUUCGGGCCAACUGAAGGAGAUACUCACAUAUCAACUACUGUUAUGGGCACACCGGGAUAUGUGGAUCCUGAGUAUGUAGUGAACUAAAGGAGGAACUCUCAAUAAUACAACGAUCUCACUGCAUCAAUUGUUUCUUGAUUCUAUUUAUUUGACUUCUAUUUCUAGCUUCCAUGUAUUCCUCCCCCCCUUCUCCACCUUUUUUUUAUCCUUCAAAUUUCAACCCAAGAAGAGGAAUUGUAGCAUGUCCUUUAAUUUUCCUGCCAGUCAACAAGUUUUGGCUUCUCUAUUCUCUCAACCAACCAAAAGGACACAUUCUAUGCCCGUUUUUCACUCAUCAACUUCAUCUGUCCUAAUAAAGAUAUGCCCAGGCUUCUCUAUGGAAGCUCCAUUAAACUCUAGCCACCCUUGCUGCUUUUUAUGAGGGUGAAAAUAUUCAUUUAUCCAAUAUAGAAGGAAAAAAUAACCUGAAACGUUUUAAUCUAUUUCUUUCACCUUCUGUAAUCAAAGAAAACCAUGCUUCAAAGUACACUAUAUUUUCAUUUAUCUCAUCCAUUCCAUCUAGAUGCUAUAGGGUCAUGUGCUUACCUAAAUUUCAAGUAACUCUAUUCAAUUAUAUGAAAAGGGGACAGGGAACAGAAACUACGGACACAUAGAAACCUUAUUUACCAUUUUUUAGAUAAUUUUUAUAAUUGUUUAGAAGACCUGAAGCUUUUUCCCAGAAUAUCUGAAACCAAGGAGAGCUUUUCUUCACCAAUUUUGCUUUCCUACAUGAGCAAUAUAAAGUUUCCAGUGGGUUGUCUGGGUGAUGGUUCGGUUUUCCCUUUCAUUCCCUAUCAUUUCUAUGAUGCAAACAUAAGGCCAAUCAACAACGGCUGACAAAAAAAAUGAUGUAUACGAGAUCAAUAUUUUGCAAGGACUCUUCUGAUAUUACUUGAACUUAAAAUGGUAGAUUUUUAUUGUUCAACAUGCGAAAUACUAGUUAAGCUAACUCCAUUAAAAUUGCAGGUAUUACAUUACCAACAAGCUAAAUGUGAAGAGUGAUGUUUAUAGCUUUGGGAUAGUUCUUUUAGAAAUUAUCUCAGGUCAGCCGGCAAUAAUUGAGGAAGAAGCAAUUCAUAUAGUACAGUGGGUAACUCCCAAGGUUGUAAGAGGGGAAAUUGACAGUGUGAUCGAUCCAAAGUUGCAAGGCGACUAUGACAUUAAUUCUGCAUGGAAAGCUGCAGAGAUAGCACUGGCAUGUACACCACAGUCCGCCAUAAAGAGGGCCACCAUGAGUGAUGUUAUCGGGGAACUGAGGGGAUGCAUCCAGUUGGAGCGUUCCCGUCUCAAAAGGAGAAGCUCAAGAAAGGAAUCCUUCACAUCAAUCAGCUUGGAAUCGGAAAUCCUGUUUGAUCCUUCAGCAAGGUAGUGAGCAUGGCAGUUUCAGGCAUAAGACCACUGUAGUUAUAUGGAGCAUAUGCCAGAGUUCUCACUUAAAUCAAUGAAACUAGGCAAUUUUUUCAUCACUAUUUUUCUCUUGUUGUUGUUCCCAAUUAUGAGAAGGGACAACCAAUAUAUGUAUCUUGGACACCUCAUUUGCAAGGUCAAGGUAGGACUUAUCAUAUAUUUGAUGAGGAAAGACGCAUAUAGUUUGAAAUUUUUGCAAUGAAGUAGAGAGAUAACAAUAUGCUUGUCUUUUGCAUUCCUUUAUUUCUUAUUGCCUUUUUUUUUCUAGGCUACCAAAUAUUUUAUCUACUCAAAACAAUGAGACAACCAGAGGCUCUAACUUGAAUUAGUUAACCAGAAAUCCCAAUCACAACCAAUGACUAAAAAGAGAUGCUCUAUGAGUUCGAACGGCAUGCAAGCCACAAGCCUUUGACCAAAUAACAAUUACUUAGCUCACAUUAUGAUCCAUAUUUUUAAUUAACAUUUCAACAUGCCCUCUAACGAGAUAAACGGAAGACAAUCAUAAGUAGCUCAUUUGUGUACGAAUCAGAAUGCGAACCAUAUGAGAUUGUCUAAAUCAGGAAAUUUUGGAGAAGCAUUAUACUUCAUAACAAUGUGAGUAAACGAAGCAAAAUGUGUGAUGGAAGAUAAAAAAGAAUUGGUUGUUCUUCACAAGAUUGAAUAAUAUUAGUUAUUUAUGAAGAACUUCAAGAAAGGUAAAUAUUUUGAUCUAAGAAAUGGCAAGAGGUAAGCGAUUAGCAGUUUCUCUUCAAUCUUAAAGCAGGUAGGAAUUGCGAUCACUAACCGGAUGAAUGUUUUGAAGAGAGUUGAAGUGGUGGGUCAUGGGUUGAGACAAUCAAGCAUCAUGUGAAUCAAUCAUUGCUUGCACAAGGAUGAGAUGGAGAAGUCUCGAGAGUUUUUGGAACAACUUAGAGUAUAGCAUGUUGAGGUAGACGUAAUAGAAUAGUGUCAUGGCUAAAUAUCAUAUACAAUUUCAACAAGAACCCAGAGCAGAGUCAGGUGGGGCAAAGUUUUGAAACCCAAAGGUAGUUUAAUCUAGGCUCGACGCUUUAAAAGCAUUUUAUGAAGAAGACUUCUAGGUUUCUCAAAUAUUUUUAAAAAACUCAGCUAAGUAGCCAAUCUGAGACACUCAAGUGAGUUUUAAAGUCCAUUGCUAAGUUAUUAAACACGGAUAUAUAUUAGAAAACCUUCAAUACGACUCUCACUCAAGAUGAACGAUGGGAUCCAACAAAAACAUAAAACAUGAAACUUGAAACUUUCAUGCCUCAAAGAUAUAUUGAAACAAAGUUUCCUAGAGGAUGGGAUCUUUUUAUUAGUCGAUCUUCAAAGAAAGGAUUCACAACGUGGAUUAUCUUCAAGAGUUCCACACCAAUACUGACAUUUGUCUUCUUAGGCUUCGGCUUAGUGGUAAGCAUAUCGGGUUGGGUGAAGGAGGUCAAGAAUUGAAAACCUUGAAGUUUGUCUUGAAAAGCCCAAAGGCCCCAAACAAAAAGACUUGCCCUUUUCCCUUGAAGUUUGCCCCAAAAAUCCCAAACAAGCUGACCAAGGCUCUUUUAAGAAGGGCCUUUAGGCUUGGAUGGUCAAGGUGGCAGGGUGCCACAGUCUGACGUCUACAGUUCCAUUCCUACUAUUGUACUAUUGAAAAAAAUUAAUAAGAAUGACAUUGACCAACAUAAGCUAAUUAUGCAAGCAAGAUGCAAUAUUGAUGGACCAUAUAUCCUUGCACUAUAAUCAUUCAAGGGGAUUAUGGGGAAGAAUAUCCGAUCUAUUCUAAAUAGUAAUGCGUCAUCAUCAUCACAACCUUUUCCCAAUUAUUUGGGGUCAGAUGCACGAAUCCUAGUCUAGUAGUCUGCACUAUUAAAGGCCAUACCCUCAGUGAGAAAAGAAGUCCUCAUAUCUUUUCGAACUACUUCCAACCACGUCCUUUUGAGCCUACCCCUUGCCCUUUUUAAUCAUUCAACUUGAACUAACUCGCACCUCCUAACAGGUACCGUAUUGGGUCGGUGCCACACAUGGCCAACCCACCACUUAAGUCUACUCUCUCUCAUCUUAUCGCUGAUUGGUGCCACACCUAAAUUUUCCUGAAAGGAUUCAUUUCAAAUUGUAUCCCUGCUUGUCUUGCCCCUCAUCCAUCUCAACAUCCUGAUCUCCGCUACAAUCAUUUGUAUAAUACUUUUUGCAUGUCCAACAUUUCACCCCAUAGAGCAAAGCUAGUCUCACAAUUGUCCUGUAGAACUUGCUCUUCAGUUUUGUUGGUAUGCGAUGAUCACAUAAAAUUCUAGUUGCACAUCUCCACUUCGCCCACCCAGCUCUAAUUUUGUGUGCGCCAUCUUCCUCAAUCUCUUUAUUUUCCUAGAUUAUUUCAAAAUAAUAAUGGGUAAUGAUUAAUUUUUGAGAGACUGCAUGAUUUGCUUAUUGUUUGGACUUUGGAAUAAAUAAAGACAGGCACAAAGCGACAAACAUAUUCCCUUCUUUGAUAAGAGGUUUGGAAAGAGAAGGCCCCACUUUCUAAAGCAGUAAAUUCAUUUCUGGAUUCUCAGAAAUGUGGAGGUUACAUUUUAGGUAAUAUUUGAUAUGAUUGUGCUUGCUUUGGCCAUUUGUGGGGAAGUAAAAUAAUGAGAAGAGCCCAAAAGGAUGAGGAUUAUUUACCAUUACAAUUAAGUGGACAUAAGAACCAUAUGUUAAACACCAUAUGAAUAAUUCUGAGCUCACUGUUAUUGCGAUUAGAUUUAUAAAUGGAUGUUAUAUUCCUUAAUCAACAGCUGACUACUGAAAAUUUAUUGAACAAAUGCUUAUCACAAGUAACAAUGACUUAUUCCUUUAUUUUCGAUUCUAGUCAUCUUGAUCUAAGACAGUUAACAAGCUCAUUGUUGGAUAUUGACCCAAAACUCAUUGGUAGACAGUCUAGUUAUAAUUAAUGCUGACUUAGGUUAGAGGGAUUUUGAGACUUCAUAAAUCAGGUGCCUUCAUAUUAAUGUUUUUCAUGCCAUUUUAAUUGCUUUAUUUUCAUUAAUGCAACUAUCACUUCUCAUGAAUGGAAAAAGGAUAAAUGAGGGAAAAGUUAAAGUAAAAUGUCACAUUCCAUUCUGCAUAACUGAAUAACACCUCGUCUUCCCAAAUACCAGAUUAAAUAAUCUCUAUACUCCAUAACUAAACCCAGUAAUCAAUUAAAUAAAUCGAGAGUAUAAAAAUAAAUGCAUACAAAAUUUUAAAGGGAGGGAAACUAUCACUGAGCAAGAAUUUGAACAGAAUCCAUAAAACUAUAAACCUGAAAAUUACCAAAUCAAAUCAAUAGAAGUAGAACUAAAGCUCCUUAAACUGAUAAUAACAGAGUGAACAAAGAAAGGCGAAUAAAUGGAAACCAAAAAGAGAGAAGAAACCUACUUAUGGAAGAAAACUCCAUACCAAAUUCAACUUUCAUCGAGUUUCUGAUGAAAUUCUCAAUUCUUCGGCAUCGUCCAUCAAAACUCACACAAAAUUCACGGACAUUUACAUGAAACCCGGCUUUUGCCUACUGAAUUUCCUCCCAAACGCGACCAGUUUGGGCCAUAGUUGGUUAAUUCUGCCAAUUAAAAAAUAAUAAUAAUAAUUGGGUGAAUUUCAGUCGGGGGCAUCUUGCUGUUCAAAUUUAAAACUUUAAGGUGGGAAGAGUAGAUAAAAACGGAUCGGAUUGCUUGGUGUGUGAGAGAAAAAAAUUUUGAACUUGAGCUUGGUCAAUGAAAUCAAUGCAGCUAAAUUUCAUUGAAUGCAGUUAAAAGGGAGAUCUUUUAAGAGGAAAAACUAAAAUAUA
This 19333-nucleotide long non-coding RNA is filed under the name Amborella trichopoda. Its description in RNAcentral is "long non-coding RNA (ATRI_LNC004482)". Lineage: Eukaryota; Viridiplantae; Streptophyta; Magnoliopsida; Amborellales; Amborellaceae. The record is from RNAcentral.